Chinchilla lanigera (long-tailed chinchilla) is the source of this 633-nucleotide long non-coding RNA. RefSeq lists it as uncharacterized. The record is from RefSeq and is a predicted model, not a curated record. Lineage: Eukaryota; Metazoa; Chordata; Mammalia; Rodentia; Chinchillidae. The transcript is spliced from 3 exons.
AACGAUCCUCCUGCUUCAGCCUCCCGAGUGCUGGGAUUACAGUGUGUUAUCUACUAAUGGAAAAGACCUUAGGAUCUGCCCUGGAUCAUUGGCACUGGCAGUAUGUUUUGGGUUUCACUGUCUGCCAGCACUACAUAUUAUAAUCAAACAGGAACCAUGAAAUUACUAAGCAAUUUCUUGCUGAUACCAUUUCUGGCACUUUCUGAAGUCAAUGAAAAUGUACUCAAAGUUAGAAAGAUAUAACUCACACUAUGCGAUUUUUGUAUGUCUACAAUGUGUACAGAAAAUCAUCCAUCUCUAAGAAAGGAUUGAAUUCUCAGAAAUUGAUCUUCACAACGUGAUUUUCUUGAAAAAUUAUGUCCUUGAUGUUAAAUGCUGUAACAUGUCUGCAGUGUGAAACCUAGUGUAGGUCAUUAAUGUGUCACUGAGAUGUGCUGCUUAAGCAAAGCCACUUGAAACUGGCAUCAUGAAUGGUAUACAUAAAUAUGUUCAGGUGAUCCUUUGUUAAAAGGAUUGGUGUGAGUACCCCUUCUCUCAAUGCGAAAAAUGCUUCAGUAGGGAAACUCACACCAUAUUUGCUGCCUUUAAUGCCCCCUCUUUUUUCAGAAAACUUUUUCUUCUUUUUCUUCUGUG